AAGGGACACAUAAGGCCUUACUGCUACAAAUUAUAUGGUUAUCCAAGUGAAGUUCCUCAAGAGUCUGAUCCAUCCAUUACUAAAACAAGGAUGGAAUGGAAGCAAAAAGAUGAUGCAAUCAAUACCAAGGAGUAUACAGCUGAAAGCAGUGGGAAAAGUCUGAUUGCCCAUACGUCUCUCAGAGCCUCAUCAAAAGAAGAUUGGUACUUUGAUAGUGGUUGUUCUAGACACAUGACUGGUG
RNAcentral lists this long non-coding RNA (241 nucleotides) under Trifolium pratense (red clover). Its description in RNAcentral is "long non-coding RNA (TPRA_LNC011439)". The record is from RNAcentral. Lineage: Eukaryota; Viridiplantae; Streptophyta; Magnoliopsida; Fabales; Fabaceae.